Molecule: long non-coding RNA, 1775 nt
Organism: Musa acuminata AAA Group (dessert banana)
Lineage: Eukaryota; Viridiplantae; Streptophyta; Magnoliopsida; Zingiberales; Musaceae
Exons: 4
Source: RefSeq, a predicted model, not a curated record
GUUUGCUCGGAAGAUGGAGGAGGGUGAGAGGCGAGUGAAGACGAGAGCGAAAGAGCGAGAAUGCCGACUACUCGUUCGGCUUCACGUCCUCGUAUGGAUUUACCAGGCUUUGGCAACUGCAUGGAAAUGUACUUCAAGUUCAGAUGGAGAUCUGAGCCCCUGUAGUAGCUUCAGAUUGUUUCAGAAGAACUGCAAAGCUAAGCUUUGAUGGAUACUGUAAAGAAGUACGAAGAUGUCCAAGCAUGGAAAACACAAUUCUAAAGGGAAUGCAUAGGAGACACACCACUUCAGAUCCUCUCAUUCUUCUUCUUUUUUUGCAUUAUUCUUUUCUUUAGCCAUUCAUGAAAAGGUUGCUGCUAACAUCCAAUGUCUCCUCAGAUAGGUGCCUUGCUGACACGGAAUAAUCAUCACUUGGGCCUUGGAUGUCACACUGGUGGUUCUUAGAGCAGAUAGCUCAUGUGUUCUGAACAAGGAACAAUUCCAUACCUGCCACGUAUGUUAUGGAUCAUAUAAAGAUUGGAUGCAUGCAAGGAUCAAGUCUCAUCCAAGUUGUGCUCAGAAAUUACCAAGUUAGAGCUCUGCUUUUGGAGUGGACUAAAACCAUAAUAACAGGUCUGGUGUGUAUCUUCACUUGUGAUCUUUGGGAAAAUGGAAGACAACUGGGUUCGGUACGGCACAUGGCUGAUUGGCACCCACCCACUUUGGGUUGCUUUGCCUAUGGGUGGUGAUGGUGGUGGUGGCGGUGGUGUUGGCAGCAGAGGAUUUCAACUAGAUUAGAGACCUGAGGAUUCCAUUUUCAUCUGUUAAGGGGUAGUGGCAUCCAAUGCCAUCCUGAUCUCUUCAGCCAGAGAGAAUACAGAACAAUGAGUCCAUCAAACUUGUUCCUAUCUCAUCAGUUCUGUAUAUUUCCUUUGGACCACAACUGCCAUUUUCAUGCUUCUUUUUGGUCUGUCCCCCCAUGGCUUGUCCGGUGGCAGAUGCUGCUGAACUAAACUUGGCAAUGAAAGUGACUCUCUCAUGGACAUCAGCACUUUGAUUGGAUGAGGUGAUGGAGUUAAGAUUCCUUGGAAACCCCACUUUGACUACAGUGCUUGAUUAGUUCUCACGAUGAUGUAUUGGCUAAAUUAUAGGUGCUCUUUUAACUUUGGUUGUACUUGAUUUGAGGAGCUUCGGCAUCUUGAGCUCAACCAGAGCUGUAGAAGUUUCAAGACCAUGAAUGUGUCAUAAAAGAAAUGUUCUUGAUCUGAGCAGUUAGGCAUUGGCUUCUUGAGGUCAAGCAUUUCUGUAAGAAUAAACCUACCGUGACAACCAUAUAUGUCUUCCCAAGGCAUUCAAAGAGGAGAGAUGGAUUUGUUGAGAUGUGUGGAAUUAGGCAUUCAAGACUUUUUGGCAAAUACCUAUUCAUGCAUGCUGUUGGGAUUUUUUUUUCAUCUCCUUGUUGGUAUGCACAUGAGAUAUCGAAAGCUACAUAUUUUAUUACUCUUCUUCGCAGGUUUUGUUAAAGCUCCAUCUCUCUAGCUUAUUCUGCAUUACCAAACUGUUGCAGCAACCCAAUGCCACACCAUUUAUGACACAAGAAGGAACUCUUGUUCUCCCCACGAGUUAGAUAUCCAUCACUUUUUCUUUCUGUGCUUGUAUCUGAGGAAUGAAAGAAGGCCUCAUUUUCUUUGCCCUACAAGCUCUGAAGUAGCCAAGUGUUGUUGUCAUCUCCUACAAGAUAUGCAUUUUUUUUGUACGAGUGCACAAUUAAUGGUAGUACUCUUGUGAGUUGCUCC